CCCCUAGACGUUCUGGGCUGCACGCGCGCUACAAUAAUACGCACAGCGAGUAUCACCGAGCUCGAAAGGGCAAGGUAAACAAUAGAAAAGGUACUGUAAUGGUUAUAGAUCCUUGUAAUUAUUGAUCUUCAACGAGGAAUUCCUAGUAAGUAUGUGUCAUCAUCACGCACUGAUUACGUCCCUGCCCUUUGUACACACCGCCCGUCGCUCCUACCGAUUGAGUGGUCCGGUGAAUUAUUCGGACCGGUGGACUGUGGGGAAACCCGCGGCCUGCUGGGAAGUCUUGUGAACCUUAUCACUUAGAGGAAGCAGAAGUCGUAACA
This 323-nucleotide ribosomal RNA is filed under the name uncultured eukaryote. RNAcentral describes it as "partial 18S ribosomal RNA". It matches the Rfam family "Eukaryotic small subunit ribosomal RNA", at positions 1470 to 1796 of the family's 1831-position model. The record is from RNAcentral.